Molecule: ribosomal RNA, 540 nt
Filed under: Triticum aestivum (bread wheat)
Lineage: Eukaryota; Viridiplantae; Streptophyta; Magnoliopsida; Poales; Poaceae
Description: partial small subunit ribosomal RNA
Source: RNAcentral
AUGAUGCUCCUAUACUUAAGGAGUAGAUCUUAUUCGGAAGCUAUUUCAGCACUAGUUCUGAAACUUGAAAGUAAAUUUACCCGUACCCAUCCUACUUUGCAAAGAUUGUUUUUUGAGCUUCCCGUUAUAAAGAAUCCUAAAGCUAAAAAGUUGGCCACUCUUGUUCUUAUGAAUGAAUUUGACUACAUAAUACGGGAAGCUAGGGAAAUCUUUGACUUUUAUGGUAUGAAUCGUGAAAAACCCGUGAUAGAUGAAAUUAUUUACAAUAGUGAUUAUGCGUUAAGACAUUUGCUUGGGGAUAAUAAAAUCUUUGAUGAGAAUCUUAAAAAAGAAGUCCCCAUUUUAGAUGUAAUCCAACAAGUUUUCAAUAAUGUUAAUCAACAUUACUCUAGGAUUGUUGCCGGAAACCAAAGGGGUUAUGAUGAUGGGAAACUUAAUAAUGCUAAAGUUUCUAUGGAUAAUAUGUUUUAUGUUGUCUUUACAAAACCUAGUAACAAAAACACCUCUAAGGAAAUUAAAGAGAAGGACAAUAAAACUUAG